This 253-nucleotide ribosomal RNA is filed under the name uncultured bacterium. RNAcentral's name for it is "partial 16S ribosomal RNA". It matches the Rfam family "Bacterial small subunit ribosomal RNA", at positions 524 to 776 of the family's 1533-position model. The record is from RNAcentral.
UACGUAGGGUGCGAGCGUUAAUCGGAAUUACUGGGCGUAAAGCGUGCGCAGGCGGUUAUGUAAGACAGAUGUGAAAUGCCCGGGCUUAACCUGGGAACUGCAUUUGUGACUGCAUGGCUAGAGUUUGGCAGAGGGGAGUAGAAUUCCACGUGUAGCAGUGAAAUGCGUAGAUAUGUGGAGGAACACCGAUGGCGAAGGCAGCCCCCUGGGUCAAGACUGACGCUCAUGCACGAAAGCGUGGGGAGCAAACAGG